RNAcentral lists this transfer RNA (77 nucleotides) under Leptolyngbya sp. FACHB-16. RNAcentral describes it as "tRNA-His". It matches the Rfam family "tRNA". Rfam says of the family: Transfer RNA (tRNA) molecules are approximately 80 nucleotides in length. Their secondary structure includes four short double-helical elements and three loops (D, anti-codon, and T loops). Lineage: Bacteria; Bacillati; Cyanobacteriota; Cyanophyceae; Leptolyngbyales; Leptolyngbyaceae. The record is from RNAcentral. RNAcentral also lists the same sequence under 1 other name.
GUGUCUGAAGCCAAAGUGAUCGCGGCGCUGGUUUGUGACUCCAGUAGUAACGGGUUAAAGUCCCGUCAGACACCCCA